AUGUGGCACAAGAUCGGCAAUACCUUGCCGGUGAUGGUCAACGGCCGGCAGACGGGCAACAAAAAGGUUCUGGUGCUGCACACCAACAAGAACUUCGACCAGCAAAGGACCAACUGGGUGAUGCACCAGUACCACCUCGGGGCCCUGGAGCAAGAGAAGGAGCGGGAGCUGGUCCUCUGCAAGAUUUUCUACCAGACGAACACUAGGGCCCAGCCCAUGAUGACAACUGGCACAAAGAUCCAGUAG
This 246-nucleotide ribosomal RNA is filed under the name Triticum aestivum (bread wheat). Its description in RNAcentral is "partial small subunit ribosomal RNA". The record is from RNAcentral. Lineage: Eukaryota; Viridiplantae; Streptophyta; Magnoliopsida; Poales; Poaceae.